AUUGAACGCUGGCGGCAUGCCUUACACAUGCAAGUCGAACGGCAGCACGGGUGCUUGCACCUGGUGGCGAGUGGCGAACGGGUGAGUAAUACAUCGGAACAUGUCCUGUAGUGGGGGAUAGCCCGGCGAAAGCCGGAUUAAUACCGCAUACGAUCUACGGAUGACAGCGGGGGACCUUCGGGCCUCGCGCUAUAGGGUUGGCCGAUGGCUGAUUAGCUAGUUGGUGGGGUAAAGGCCUACCAAGGCGACGAUCAGUAGCGGGUCUGAGAGGACGACCAGCCACACUGGGACUGAGACACGGCCCAGACUCCUACGGGAGGCAGCAGUGGGGAAUUUUGGACAAUGGGCGAAAGCCUGAUCCAGCAAUGCCGCGUGUGUGAAGAAGGCCUUCGGGUUGUAAAGCCCUUUUGUCCGGAAAGAAAUCCUUGGCCCUAAUACGGUCGGGGGAUGACGGUACCGGAAGAAUAAGCACCGGCUAACUACGUG
This 486-nucleotide ribosomal RNA is filed under the name uncultured bacterium. Its description in RNAcentral is "partial 16S ribosomal RNA". It matches the Rfam family "Bacterial small subunit ribosomal RNA", at positions 30 to 507 of the family's 1533-position model. The record is from RNAcentral.